RNAcentral lists this ribosomal RNA (406 nucleotides) under uncultured bacterium. Its description in RNAcentral is "partial 16S ribosomal RNA". It matches the Rfam family "Bacterial small subunit ribosomal RNA", at positions 30 to 526 of the family's 1533-position model. The record is from RNAcentral.
AUUGAACGCUGGCGGCAGGCUUAACACAUGCAAGUCGAGCGAGCGGCGGACGGGUGAGUAAUGUCUGGGAAACUGCCUGAUGGAGGGGGAUAACUACUGGAAACGGUAGCUAAUACCGCAUACCAUCAGAUGUGCCCAGAUGGGAUUAGCUAGUAGGUGGGGUAAUGUCUCACCUAGGCGACGAUCCCUAGCUGGUCUGAGAGGAUGUCGACCCACCGUGGAACGGAGACACGGUCCAGACUCCUACGGGAGGAAGCAGUGGGGAAUAUUGGACAAUGGGCGAAAGCCGGAGACAGCCAUGCCGCGUGUGUGAAGAAGGCCUUCGGGUUGUAAAGCACUUUCAGCGAGGAGGCGUUACUCGCAGAAGAAGCACCGGCUAACUCCGUGCCAGCCGCCGCGGUAAUAC